Long non-coding RNA from Vespa mandarinia (Asian giant hornet), 583 nucleotides. Lineage: Eukaryota; Metazoa; Arthropoda; Insecta; Hymenoptera; Vespidae. The record is from RefSeq and is a predicted model, not a curated record.
CUCUCUCUCUCUCUCUUUCUUUCUUUCUAUAUAUCUCCAUCUCUGUUUCUCUUAUACAUAUACAUAUAUACGUGUUCUCUCUAUACAUUGUAUGUAUGUAUAUCGUUUCAAGGUUUUCAUAUUCUCAUCGGACGUCGUAAAUAAAUAUACACACAAACUAAUAUAAACAACUAAUAUCACUCGUCUUUAUCUUUGAGAUUAUUUUGAGGAUAUUCUAAAUUUCAAAGAAAAAUAGUAUUAUCGAUGUAUGCGACAACGACGACGGACGACGACGACGAUGAAGAAGACAACGAAGACGAAGAAGACGAGGACACUAUGUAAAAGUAAAUGUCACGAUUUAUAUAUAGAUUAACGAGAUGAGAAAGGAGAAACGAUAAAUAAAAAAAGAGAAAGAGAAAAAUGUGUAGUAGGGGUGGGGUAAGGUGAUGGAGGAGAAGAAGAACAGUAAAAGGAGGAGGAGGAGGAGGAGGAGAGGACGAAGAGAAGGGAGAAGGAAAAUUUGGGUGUUAACUUUGUAAAACAUCGAAGAGAACGAUAACGAUAUGAUUUAUGAUAAUAAUAAUAAUAAUAAUAAUAAUAAUAA